RNAcentral lists this ribosomal RNA (374 nucleotides) under uncultured eukaryote. RNAcentral's name for it is "partial 18S ribosomal RNA". It matches the Rfam family "Eukaryotic small subunit ribosomal RNA", at positions 592 to 976 of the family's 1831-position model. The record is from RNAcentral.
UAAUAGCGUAUAUUAAAGUUGUUGCAGUUAAAAAGCUCGUAGUCGGAUGUCGGGCUCGGGGAGGCUGUCGGCCUUCGGUCGGACGGCAUGUCCGGGCCUUUCUGCCUGGGGAUCCUACUCUACUUAACUGUAGGGUAGUGGGACGCAGGCCGUUUACUUUGAAAAAAUUAGAGUGUUCAAAGCAGGCCUACGCUUGAAUACAUUAGCAUGGAAUAAUGGAAUAGGACUUUGGUCUUAUUUGUUGGUUUAUGGGACCGAAGUAAUGAUUAACAGGGACAGUUGGGGCCGUUUAUAUUUCGUUGUCAGAGGUGAAAUUCUUGGAUUUACGAAAGAUAAACUUCUGCGAAAGCAUUCGGCAAGGAUGUUUUCAUUGA